UCGUGCCGUGAUUGGCGGCUCCCGCGAUACCUGGAAGGAAGAGGUUGAAAGAUGGACGCUUCAUGGAGGCGAGGAAAUCGGGGACAUCGCAAGCUUCGGUUUCAGAUCCUGACCCGUCCUAAUCAUCUGGUUAUAAAAUUAAUUUGCAGAGCUGAUAAUCGGAGGUAUAGCCCCAGCAGACAUGAUGGUGAUGGUUGCCAAUCUCUCCCUUAUCAUUGGGACAGUCCUGUUUCAAGCCGUGACCACAGCUGAAAAAAGUGGGCUUUGUCCUCUCUUCGGGCUGCCUGGUGCUAUAAUGAUGUUCAAAUGUCCAUCUGUUAACACAAACGCCUGUGUCAAUGAUGUAGACUGUGAAGGUUCCAAGAAGUGCUGCAGUGAGUACUGUGUCAACAAAUGCCGGGACCCUGGAGAUGAGCUGAGCUAAAC
Rana temporaria (common frog) is the source of this 426-nucleotide RNA transcript. It is a transcript of the gene named waprin-Phi3-like, with no coding region annotated. The record is from RefSeq and is a predicted model, not a curated record. The transcript is spliced from 3 exons. Lineage: Eukaryota; Metazoa; Chordata; Amphibia; Anura; Ranidae.